UACAGAGGUCUCAAGCGUUGUUCGGAUUCAUUGGGCGUAAAGGGUGUGUAGGUGGCGCGCUAAGUCGGGUGUGAAAUUUCGGAGCUUAACUCCGAAACUGCAUUCGAUACUGCCGUGCUUGAGGACUGGAGAGGAGACUGGAAUUACGGUGUAGCGGUGAAAUGCGUAGAUAUCGUAAGGAAGACCAGUGGCGAAGGCGGGUCUCUGGACAGUUCCUGACGCUGAGGCACGAAGGUCAGGGGAGCAAACGGG
Molecule: ribosomal RNA, 252 nt
Filed under: uncultured bacterium
Lineage: Bacteria
Description: partial 16S ribosomal RNA
Rfam family: Bacterial small subunit ribosomal RNA
Source: RNAcentral